RNAcentral lists this ribosomal RNA (465 nucleotides) under uncultured Klebsiella sp. RNAcentral describes it as "bacterial SSU rRNA". It matches the Rfam family "Bacterial small subunit ribosomal RNA", at positions 338 to 795 of the family's 1533-position model. Lineage: Bacteria; Pseudomonadati; Pseudomonadota; Gammaproteobacteria; Enterobacterales; Enterobacteriaceae. The record is from RNAcentral.
CCUACGGGAGGCUGCAGUGGGGAAUAUUGCACAAUGGGCGCAAGCCUGAUGCAGCCAUGCCGCGUGUGUGAAGAAGGCCUUCGGGUUGUAAAGCACUUUCAGCGGGGAGGAAGGCGUUAAGGUUAAUAACCUUGUCGAUUGACGUUACCCGCAGAAGAAGCACCGGCUAACUCCGUGCCAGCAGCCGCGGUAAUACGGAGGGUGCAAGCGUUAAUCGGAAUUACUGGGCGUAAAGCGCACGCAGGCGGUCUGUCCAGUCGGAUGUGAAAUCCCCGGGCUCAACCUGGGAACUGCAUUCGAAACUGGCAGGCUAGAGUCUUGUAGAGGGGGGUAGAAUUCCAGGUGUAGCGGUGAAAUGCGUAGAGAUCUGGAGGAAUACCGGUGGCGAAGGCGGCCCCCUGGACAAAGACUGACGCUCAGGUGCGAAAGCGUGGGGAGCAAACAGGAUUAGAUACCCCUGUAGUC